Molecule: ribosomal RNA, 301 nt
Filed under: uncultured bacterium
Lineage: Bacteria
Description: partial 16S ribosomal RNA
Rfam family: Bacterial small subunit ribosomal RNA
Source: RNAcentral
CAGUAGCCACGGGAAUACGGAGGGUGCAAGCGUUAAUCGGAAUUACUGGGCGUAAAGCGCACGCAGGCGGUCUGACAAGUCAGAUGUGAAAUCCCCGGGCUUAACCUGGGAACUGCAUUUGAAACUGUCAGGCUGGAGUCUUGUAGAGGGGGGUAGAAUUCCAGGUGUAGCGGUGAAAUGCGUAGAGAUCUGGAAGAAUACCGGUGGCGAAGGCGGCCCCCUGGACAAAGACUGACGCUCAGGUGCGAAAGCGUGGGGAGCAAACAGGAUUAGAUACCCCAGUAGUCCCUGUCUCUUAUAU